ACUGCAAUGAGGGGGGAUAGGACCUUUAUCGGGACUCCGGGAUCGGGUGUUUUUAAGCUCGGGAUUUCGGGAUUGACCCUUUCGGGAUCGGGGAAUCCUUUUUUUUUCGGAUUUCGGGAUGUCGGGAUUUGCUUUAUUUAAAUUCGGGACCUCGGGAUUUCGUUUUUUCAAGUCCGGGAUUUCGGGAUCAAGACCCCUCCUAUCCCCCCUCUGCAAUG
This 218-nucleotide long non-coding RNA is filed under the name Mytilus galloprovincialis (Mediterranean mussel). Lineage: Eukaryota; Metazoa; Mollusca; Bivalvia; Mytilida; Mytilidae. The record is from RNAcentral.